RNAcentral lists this ribosomal RNA (408 nucleotides) under Neisseria bacilliformis. RNAcentral's name for it is "bacterial SSU rRNA". It matches the Rfam family "Bacterial small subunit ribosomal RNA", at positions 30 to 432 of the family's 1533-position model. The record is from RNAcentral. Lineage: Bacteria; Pseudomonadati; Pseudomonadota; Betaproteobacteria; Neisseriales; Neisseriaceae.
AUUGAACGCUGGCGGCAUGCUUUACACAUGCAAGUCGGACGGCAGCACAGAGAAGCUUGCUUCUUGGGUGGCGAGUGGCGAACGGGUGAGUAACGCAUCGGAACGUACCGAGUAAUGGGGGAUAACUGUCCGAAAGGACAGCUAAUACCGCAUACGCCCUGAGGGGGAAAGCGGGGGAUCUUAGGACCUCGCGUUAUUCGAGCGGCCGAUGUCUGAUUAGCUGGUUGGCGGGGUAAAGGCCCACCAAGGCGACGAUCAGUAGCGGGUCUGAGAGGAUGAUCCGCCACACUGGGACUGAGACACGGCCCAGGCUCCUACGGGAGGCAGCAGUGGGGAAUUUUGGACAAUGGGCGCAAGCCUGAUCCAGCCAUGCCGCGUGUCUGAAGAAGGCCUUCGGGUUGUAAAGGA